This is a long non-coding RNA of Cavia porcellus (domestic guinea pig), 5855 nucleotides long. RefSeq lists it as uncharacterized. The transcript has 6 exons. NCBI's taxonomy places the organism in Eukaryota, Metazoa, Chordata, Mammalia, Rodentia, Caviidae. The record is from RefSeq and is a predicted model, not a curated record.
AUAGAAGGCUUGGCAUGUGAGUGAGACAGGCAGAGGAAGCCCUGUGCACACAGCCAUGCUACUGUGGGAGCCAGGAAGCGAUGCCGGGGAAGGCAGCUGUAGGUGUCACCGCCAUGAGAUCUGUACCGUCAGGUGCUGUCAGGUGGAAAUGGCAGGGCUGCACCCAAGGAGCGAGAGGCACAAGUUCUUAACAGAAAAGAUGCCGAACAAAUGAGCUGGCGACAUGGAAGGAUGUAAUCUGAUGUGGAGCAGGAACGAAGGCAAGAAGAAGAAACUGGGCAGAGGGAAAGGGGAGCAAAAAGGACCAAAAAAUGCUAUAUUUAUGUCCCAGCGCACCGACAUGAGUGGUCCCGGAGACGCUGCGCUGGCUGGACCUUCCUGGAAGUUCCGGAAAGCCAGCGAGGACGUGAAGAACGAGAAGUCUCUGGAGAAAGUGGCCUCCCAGAUGGACAGAUAUCACAAGAUAUUUCCAACUUCCAAGUCAGCAGAGAAUAUCAGAACAGGCAUGAAACUGAACACAGCCCCAGCAGCAGUCUUAUUUUCCCGGAGAUGGAAGAUGCAGAUGGUAGUUUGCCAGCCUAAGUGAAACACCAUCUGAAGCUGGAACUGUGGGGUGUGCUGCUGUGUUGCAGUAGAGAAGACGCAUCUGUGUCCUGAGGAAAUGCCAGCAGAGGAACAGGAGAUGAGGGAUCCAACACGGCUCGCACAUACAAUAAAUGACACGAGAGGCGACAGACUUGUAACAUGUCCUUAAUGUAAUCACAGCUGCGUUCCAUGGGAUCUCAGUGUGGACAUGAAAUGAGGCUUUCUCAAUGUGAAAUCAAGAGUGGGCUGUGUGGACUGCGUCCUUUGGAAAUCUAACACCCUCUAAUGCACCUGGAGAACAUCAGUGCGAUCAAGGGACUUGGCUGAGUCAGGCUCCCCACACAGCUGAGUGGCCUGAUUCCUGGCAGUCACAUUCUUGUUGAAAAACCCCACACAGUGCCUUCCAAGAGCAUGCGUGUUGGAGGGAGGACUGAGUCUCCAGGCUGAUGCCAGGAGACAUCUGCCUUACUAGGCCGUGUGUGGCCUGCGUGAGUGCCUCUCCAGGGAAUCAUUUUACACCUCCUGUAUAUUUGAUUUAUAAAGUGGGUUUGAUCUUUGUUCCUUUUCUUCAGCAAAGGAAAGUUACUUACAUUUUAAAGGAUGCUUGCCUUGCUGGUGUUUCUUACCCCCCUGGAUUCCGUGGCUUUUUUUCUGUUUCUUAUCACAUUCAACCUGUCUCAUAGGCAUUUGUGUCUGAGGUUUGUUUUCCCCAGCAGACUGUGAACCUUUUGAUAUUAAGGUCCAGUUUGUAAUCAUUUUGUAAUCCUUCCUUAUGCCUUAGCACACAGACUGGUAAAGAGGUGACUUUAGCUGUGGCUAGUGAACUAAAUUGAAACCUUUCUUACUUGCAAGCAGGACCGUUCUUCUGGAAAAAAUUCUCUAUAGGAAUUUAAUUAAUCAAUUUUUCUUGUUUAUGUUACCUCUGCUUUAACUCAAACUAUAACAUGUUUAUUAACUGUAAGAAGAUUCUAGGAAAACCUUCUCUUACUGGAUUUUCAAUUUAAGUUUACAAAUAAGUUCUAUGCUUACCAAAAUUUGCUAUCAUUUCAAUUUUCUUGAUAAAUUAUAUUUAGGAUUAAACAUCGAACACCCUUGUCUGCACUUCUUCUGUAACUUUAACUCAGAGGUUUGGAAGUUCACUUUUAAAUAGUAAAAUCACAAGAACUACUAGCUGAUUUCAGUUCACAUUACGUAACUCAUGAGAUGUGGGAGAAGGGCAACUUUGAGGAUCUUAGCCGUUUGGGAUUAAGACCUAAUACCAGAACAUCAUGGUGAGAUCACGAGGAGACAGUUGUUCCAGUAUUUUGUAACCUGAAGAAACAUUUGUAAAUGAAAGGGGCUUGGGGAAAUAAAGGUGGAGAGAAUUUGAAGUACAAAUGUCUCUUCAUCCUAAUAAAUCAGGGUGGGCACAUAGCUCAGUGGCACAGUACCUGCCUGGCAAGGUCCUGAGUUUGAUUCUUGGUACAAAAAUAAAAUCAGUGCUGGGAAAGGAAUUUCACAAUGAACUUGGUCUAUGUUCAAUCUAGGAUCUGAAUGCAGUAAUCAAGACUGGCCCUCCAUAGGAGUUAGGGCUAAAAGAGGUGUCACUAUCCAAGCCAACAGGGGUUUCAUGGCGAGAGAAUACCAUUUAUAAUAAGAGAAUUGAGCCUCCAAGAAUUUUCAGAUGGUGGACAGGAAUCCACAGUAUCUGCACCUGUGACUUUCCCGCCUGUGGUCUCCACACUGUGCCAUGAUCCAGAGCUCCAAGUCUUUGGUAGAACCAUGGAAAGCAGAAGUUAUAACAAAGACACAGAAUAAAUAAUGAAAAAGGAAAACAAUUCCACCAAAAUCUCUCUGCGAGGCUGUGUGGUGAGGUAACCUUGUUCUGCUCCCACAGAACAAGCCAACUCUAAGAGGAACGAGUUGCUUCCCCUGACUCUGCACAUGCCACAGAAUGAGCUGAAAGGCAGUGUGACUUCCAGAAGAUCUGGCUUGGUCACUCUGAGGGUUUUCACCUUUGGUGGAUCCUGGCACCCGUGGAGCACCUGUCAGGGCAGGGGCAGCUGGGGCCAUGGAAGUGUCAGUGUGUCAGUGAUGCUGAUGUGAACAUCGUAUGUCCUUCUUGAAGAUAAGAGGUGGAUGGUGACACCUGUGAAUGCGGUGCGGUGACCCAGACCUGGUGGGCAUGAUGGAAAGCAGUUAGCUUUGUGGAUGGCAGUCACGUCACCUAGGAGGACUGGUUGGUACACCACUAUAAAAUUUGGGGAAAUAGCUGUGAACAAAUGAGAAAUCAGUUCUAGAAAAUGGAGAGGACAUUUUUCAUGACACAUACUGGAGCAAAAAUCCAGUUUGUGGAAAUACAGAUGACACAAAGCCAAGAGGAACUGAACUUCUACACUGUUUUAAAUAGGAAAAGUCUACAGGGACUGGACCAGGUGGUCCCAGCGACAUCCUGUGGUUUCAACAGAAGUAGGAAAUCAAUCUGAAGAGAGUGGACAAGGAUGCCCAUCAGGACCUGGGAUCCCACAGAGCCUGUGCCCAUUAUCUGAAAAGUGGACCAGGAUAUGCUUUGUGUGUCUUCCAUUUCCCACUGCCCAGAACCACAGCUUUCUGGGGCUCAGGCAAAUGCCCCCCUGUUCCUGAGAAUUCACAUUUCACAACAGUAACACAAGAUGAGUUACAGAUAGUUCAGCCCCAGGCAGCUUAAGCCAGGGACAGUCAAGCAGGCCUCCGUCACAGGCAACGCCGGGCCUCUUUAUUUCCUUAACCUGGGACUUUUAUUUCUGAGCCAAGAAGAUAACACAUCUUAAUAGCAAGCAGCUGAGUUAACUAGAUAAAAGGUUUCAUAAACAGUUAGUGAAAUCUUGAAAUCAGAGAAAGCGCAGAUUCUCAGUCUUGCCUUGCUUGACUGGAUCUAAAUGUACAUCACCAAAGCAGCACAAAGCAGAUGGCGAGAUAGGCAGCCAGGCUCCCGAGAGCCAGCUCACAGGCUUCCCUGCCUUCCUUCCCUCCACAGCUGGUACUGAAAGUUUCCACUCAGUGUAUGGCCAGAGAUAAGAGAUGCCCGGAGCAUCCGUCAGCUAGAAUGGUCUUAAUGAUCCACCCAGUGACGAUUGCAUUAAACUAAAGAGGACAUGAAGCUCAUAAAAGACCAUGUUUAUAUAGUAGCAAUGGUACAAAGAUAGGAAACCUAAAGCCUUUACAUCCACUGGUAAGUAAUAGGGCUAAAGUUAAUGUACAAAUGUAAGGAAUGAAUUGGAAUUAAAAAAAAAAAAAGUGGUCUGUAGUGAAGAGGCCAGGAUCAUAAAUUAUGCAAGUUCUAUGAUUCAAGGGGAAUGAUGUGCAAACACAGUCAGAAAAACUCUGCUGAAUGGAAGAAUGCAACCUGGAGAUGACAGCACAGGAAACCCGGGGGACAGGCUUCAGUGAGGAUGGGGCUGGAAAUGGCAGUGGGGGACCUGGAUUAGGAGCCAGGAACUGGGGAGCCGGUGACCUCCAGAUUGACCACACAGAGCCAGAAGAGUUCAUGUGAAACACAAAUUCAAGGAAAUUCCGAUUAUUAUGGCCGCAGUUAGAAGACAGAAUAUCAAAGGAGGUAUCCAGGGGAAAGUGAUUGAUUCUGAACAAAGAAAAAUUAAAGAUCAAAAGCAAGAAGAUAAAGGAAAUCACACUGGUUUUGGACAAAGACUGCAUGCAUUCCAAACCUAUAAAUAGAUAAAUAGGAGGAAACUUUCUGCAAAAGUUAAUGAAAUGGAGCAACAACAGAGAUAUGGAAAAUAAUGAUUAUGUGACGAUGGGAAUAAAGCCAAGUGCUUUACCACAUCAGUUAAGGGAACAGCAGGCUCCAAAGCAGAGACAAAAAUAAUAUGACUUCUGAAGACCCAACGUUUACAAGACAACAUCAAAGAACGGAGGGAAACAUGUGCUUCUCACUACUAAUCCGACUUUACAUGAAAUACUACAAAAACAGAAAAGGACUUAAAUACACAAAAAUGAUUCAAAUUGCAAAACAAAUUCUUCAAAGCUGUGUGCGCUUCACAGAGACAAGGCUCACUCCUUUCUGGGUCCCCUCUGAGCCUCACAUUCUUUUUCUCGUAGGUGACCACACUAGUAGGGUGCUCGGCCACUCUGUAAGCCUUAAAAAGCCUGUGGUGGGGACAGAAGGGUCCAGGGUGCUGCUUUCAAUAAACCCUCAUGCAGACUCGGCUUCCUUGACAGCCAGGAGGACAGAGAGUUGCUCACCGUGCCAUUUCCAGCCUCCUCCUCCUCCUGAUUUCUGACACUAAUGAGUAAUCUGUCCGUAGCGUUCGGCCGGACACACCUGCUGAGCACACAGUUGGAUGAACAGUUGGACUGAAGGAUUCCGCGUCCCCCAUGACCUCCUCCUUCUCAGUUACCAAGCCACGGAAGAUACUAAUGUUCUUCCCGAUGUCAUUAAUUAGCCGUGCUUGACUGGUUGUGAGUGGCACCACUGAAUUUUUUUUCUUGAAUGCUCUUGUUUUGACAUCUGAUUAUUUACCCUGCAUCUUCCGUGCCCAGCAGAGUGCUUGGCUCAGUUUUAGUAGUGAGAAGAAAGGGCCCUUCCCAUCCCACUUGCCUUCUUGUCCAGUUCACUGCGCCGAUCCCUGCUCCCCUGUGCCUCCUCUGACAGCUGCCCUCUCUCCUCUCCACACCAGCUCUGAACCGAGAGGUACCCCAGGGCUUGUUCUUGGGUUUUCCUUAGCUCACUUUGCUUUAUCUUUUGUUUGCUCACUUCUUUGUCUUUUUCUUUCUUUUUUCCUUUAAGAAAAGAAAAUCUAUUUUAGAGCUGGGUAGCUUAGCAAAAGGAUACAAUUUUAUGAAAAGGAGUAAUUUUUGUUUUUGCUUUGUUUUAUUUUAAUAAACUUGUUUAGCUUUGUUUGUUUAGACAAACUUGUCUUUGUGAACCCAGAACUCAGGGUCUCAAUUAAUUCCUCCUAGAUUCUUUUUCUUUGAGGAUGAAAUCCUAGAAAUAGGGCUUCCCACAAAACGCCUUUAACAAUGCAAAUUAUAGACUAGAAUAACAUGUAUAUAAGGGAAAUUAGAGAAAAUUAAUAAAAAUAUUAAAAUAUUCUUCAAUUUGGUAAAAACCAAAUUGAAACACAUGUUACCAGUACAAUGGAGCAUGAUUUCUACUUAUUUAUGAUUAUAAUCCCACUAUUCACUAAAAGCCUGUCCUUCCUUCUCAUCCUAAAUUUAUCAUGUUGACUUAUAAACUUCUGGCAAAAAUUUUAUAGACUGUCAUUCUAUGAUUUAUUUUUUAAUUUUUGAUA